This is a non-coding RNA of Rattus norvegicus (Norway rat), 754 nucleotides long. The record is from RefSeq and is a predicted model, not a curated record. Lineage: Eukaryota; Metazoa; Chordata; Mammalia; Rodentia; Muridae.
CUAAGAAGGGAGCAUUCAUUGUUUUGUUAAUUGUGAUGAAGAUGCCAUCACAAUGGAAGAUGUCACCGGCAGAGCUUCUAAAAGGGACACGAGACAAACUGGAGCCCUCUGCCAGCGUCUAUUUUUUUCCCGUUGCUGUAAUUGUUCCAGAAGUUUGAAUUGUAUUUGUGAAACAUCUCUGAGUGAAGUAUCCUGGAUGGAUAAGAUCCCUGGCUGCCCUGGAACUCACCACACAGACAAGGCUAUCCUGGAACUCAGAGAGAUCUUCCUGCUACAGCCUCCCAAGUGCUGGGAUUAAGGGUGCGUGCCACCACACCUGGCUGACUGGUCAUUCUUCAAUGUGUCAACUCCACAGACACUGAAUUACACAUCAUUUGCAUGGAAGUACUUCCUUGACCUCUUUGGGGGUAAAAUGUGGAAAAAUUAGUUCAUCAUUCAACUGUGGGUCCACUGGGUGCUCACAGAACACCCCACUAAUGCACUCUUGUGAGAAAAAUCAGGGUCCGGGCAUUUCCUUCUUCUCCUCACCAUAGAGAACCUUUGCUGAGAUGUGUACACCCCCAGGCUGACGAGUGUCCAAAGAUGCUAGCACACCAGGCUCCAUGGGACGGUCAAGACCACAUACAUGUCUCGCAUGUACAAAGGUGUGAAGGAAAGCAAGAGCACAGCAACUAUGCCCAGUGUGGAACCUUCUCGCUUGUCUCCCGGAGAAGAUUAGCUCUUGUAUAAUUAAAACUUUUAACUCUUUUAAAAA